This 266-nucleotide unclassified non-coding RNA is filed under the name Hevea brasiliensis (rubber tree). The record is from RNAcentral. Lineage: Eukaryota; Viridiplantae; Streptophyta; Magnoliopsida; Malpighiales; Euphorbiaceae.
GUGAAAGCCCUCUUAAAAAAGCAUGAGAAGGCAUUACAUGCACUGUCAAAUGCUCUUUUAGAAUACGAGACACUCAAUGCAGAAGAAAUAAAGAGGAUUCUUCUUCCUUAUCGAGAAGGACAGUUGCCAGACCAACAAGUAGAAGUAGAACAACAAGGGGAUCUUGUGUUGGCUUGAAGUUCUGUGACGUUUGCAUCGGACUCCAUUGUCAUCUCUGUAAAGUACCUGAAACAAGCGUGAAAGAAAAGGUGAUAUUUCAUAUUUAU